This 83-nucleotide microRNA precursor is filed under the name Anopheles farauti. RNAcentral describes it as "mir-2 microRNA precursor". It matches the Rfam family "mir-2 microRNA precursor family". From Rfam's summary of the family: The miRNAs are transcribed as ~70nt precursors (modelled here) and subsequently processed by the Dicer enzyme to give a ~22nt product. Lineage: Eukaryota; Metazoa; Arthropoda; Insecta; Diptera; Culicidae. The record is from RNAcentral.
UCCCUCUCAAAGUGGCUGUGAAAUGUGUCUCUUUCCGAAAGGGUUCCUUUCUUGCAUAUCACAGCCAGCUUUGAAGAGCGCUA